This 253-nucleotide ribosomal RNA is filed under the name uncultured bacterium. Its description in RNAcentral is "partial 16S ribosomal RNA". It matches the Rfam family "Bacterial small subunit ribosomal RNA", at positions 524 to 776 of the family's 1533-position model. The record is from RNAcentral.
UACAGGGGGGGCAAGCGUUGUUCGGAAUUACUGGGCGUAAAGGGCUCGUAGGUGGCCAACUAAGUCAGACGUGAAAUCCCUCAGCUUAACUGGGGAACUGCGUCUGAUACUGGAUGGCUUGAGUUUGGGAGAGGGAUGCGGAAUUCCAGGUGUAGCGGUGAAAUGCGUAGAGAUCGGGAGGAACAUCAGUUGCGAAGGCGGCUCUCUGGACCAGCACUGACACUGAGGCACGAAAGCGUGGGGAGCAAACAGG